GUAAUGAUUUGCCCUAGACAAAUGCUUGUAGACUGUUUAUGAUUGCUUCUUGUCUUUCAGUAGAGUGGAAGUAGAAACCAAGAGAUGGAGUGGACACCAAGAUGUGCUCCCAGAUCCUUCCAGGGCCUGAUGUGAGACUGACCAGUUUACAGUUCCCUGGUCUUCCCUUUGUUUGCAUUCUCAUGGAAUGGUUUUUAUUCCUCUAAGUGGUUUUAAGUCCAGCAGAGCUUUGGCAUUCCUGACAUUAUCAAGACUGAAGUAUUAACUCUAUCCUGAUACAAGGAAGAGCAUAGGGAGACAGGAUUUCUUGAGACCUUUGCCUGUGGAUGGUGAACUCUUGCAGCUCAACCUGAAGACACAGGAAGACCCACCAGGCCUUACAGCUUGACACAGAAGCUUUUCAAGAGGUGAACGUGAUUUGCUCCACAGUGAGCUGUAUUCCUGAGAGAGGGACUGAAAGGAAAAGGGCAAAUUAUCCUCACAGUGAUGUGGAAAGCAGGAAAAGAGCUGGCAGGAAAAUUAUCACCGGUACUUUAUUUAUGCCUUACAAAAUUGAUUGUUUGAAUCACAGAAUGGUUUGGGUCAGAAGAGAAUUUAAAGAUCAUCUGAUUCCAGCCAUCCUGCCAUGGGCAGGGACAUUUUCCACUAGACCAGGCUGCUCAAAGAUCUGUCCAACCUGGCCUUGAACACUCCCAGGGAUCAAGGAUCCACAGCUUCCUUGGGCACCCAUGCCAGGACCUCACCACCCUCACAGUGAAGAAUUUCUUCCUAAUAUCUGCUCUAAACCUGACCUCUGCCAAUUUAAAGAAACUGAGACUCCUUCCUGUGACUGGUGCUGAUUGCUGAUUUCACCUCCACUGAACAAGGAGCUUCCAAGGGUUGGUGUUCUUGACUUCAUCUUCUCAAGAUGACACUAAAUCAUGGGACACCUGAACAGAACAGUUUUGGUUCACACUGCCAGGGCUGCAAACUGCAAACUCAGUGUACUGAGAGCAGGAGGCAUAAAUCCAAGGUUGUCCAAAGUGCAAGAGGCACAACAAAUCCUCCUGGAGAGUUUUACAAUGGAGAACAAGCUUUACCAGAGCCACACACGUGUAUUUUAGUGUGAUGUGAUGGAUAGAAGUAAAAAAGAAGAGAUAAGAGUUGUGAUCUCCCUGGUCCCUCCAAUCUGCCACAAUACAGUCUGUGGAACAAAACACUAGGAGGCUCAGUUUUCCCAGGCUACAUCUGGACACUGGAAACAGAAAUCCUGAGCCAGUGAAGAUAUUUCUGCCAAAAGAUGUUUAGCAGUAGUAAAUUGAAUUUUCAUUUUCAGAAGACUUUAAUUUUUUUUUUGCACAAUUUCAAAAUAAUGCCUCUCUAUGUACUUGGAUUUAAUUUUUAAUUUUUAAGGAAAAAGAGGUCUUCCCCUACCUUAAAAUUUUAAAAAUUUGCUAGAAAGCAGACAAAACAUCUUUUUGGCUAACAACUGGAAAUUUUUGAAGAAUUACCUUUGAUUCUGAUCAAAUGCUUCUUGCAAAUGCUUUGAAAAUGUCAAGCAGUGUGUUCCCUGUGCUGUGAUCUAUAUGUCUGUCAUGGACAACAAAUAUAAAAUUCUUAAAAUUCUUCUUCAGAAAGAUUUUUGGCCACUGUGACCCUUCUUGUUCUCUCCCUUAAAGUGGAAAUGAUGAAUAGCUCAUUCAAAUCUAUGUAUUUUUUUAGUGUAAGUGAAAGGAAAAUCAAACUGCAUGUAUCUGAUAUACAUUAACUUUAAGUCUGCUAUUAAACCACAAGUCGUGAAAGACUAUGGGAAAUCUGAACCCCUGAUGAUUUUUUGCUAAUUCUAUAAAGAGUCUAUUUAAUUUCCUCAGGAAAACAAGGCAAAUCUUCCCUUGAGGGCAUAUACAUUUUUCAAUGGGCUACAAGUGAGUCCCUAAGGGCUCAGUUUUCACUGAUCACAGUUUGGUCUGUUGGAUAUUGCUAAGGGAAAUUUAGUGUGAUUGUCUGUGAUCACUGGCAUGUGCUCAUACCCAUUAGGAGACCUAUUCAGCCCACUGACAUUUGGUUCCUAGGAGAAUAGGGUAGCUGCUCUCAAAACAUUUUGAGUUUGCUGUAUUUUUUUUUGUUGUUCCUUUCCCU
This is a long non-coding RNA of Serinus canaria (Common canary), 2118 nucleotides long. RefSeq lists it as uncharacterized. NCBI's taxonomy places the organism in Eukaryota, Metazoa, Chordata, Aves, Passeriformes, Fringillidae. The record is from RefSeq and is a predicted model, not a curated record. The transcript is spliced from 3 exons.